GCCGGGUGCGUUGGCAUGUGCCUGUAAUCCAAGUCACUGGGAGGCUGAGGUUGGUGGAUCAAGUGAGCUGAGGAGCUCUGGGCUGCAGCACGCUAUGUCGAACGGGUGUCCACGCCAGUUCGGUAUAGAUAUGGUGUUCCUGGUGCGGGACCACCAGGUUGUCUAAGGGGGGUGAACCGGCCAGGUCGGAAACGAAGCAGGUCAAAUACCCCGUGCUGUCCAGUAGUGGGAUAAUACCUGUGAGUAGAUGCUGCAGUGCAGCCUUGGCAAAACAUCGAGACCUAAUCUUUU
Molecule: signal recognition particle RNA, 291 nt
Filed under: Oncorhynchus mykiss (rainbow trout)
Lineage: Eukaryota; Metazoa; Chordata; Actinopteri; Salmoniformes; Salmonidae
Description: Metazoan signal recognition particle RNA (ENSOMYG00000055298.1)
Rfam family: Metazoan signal recognition particle RNA
About the family: The signal recognition particle (SRP) is a universally conserved ribonucleoprotein.
Source: RNAcentral